GAUGAACGCUGGCGGCGUGCCUAAUACAUGCAAGUCGAGCGAACAGAUGAGGAGCUUGCUCCUCUGACGUUAGCGGCGGACGGGUGAGUAACACGUGGAUAACCUACCUAUAAGACGGGGAUAACUUCGGGAAACCGGAGCUAAUACCGGAGAAUAUAUUGAACCGCAGGGUUCAAUAGUGAAAGACGGUUUUGCUGUCACUUAUAGAUGGAUCCGCGCCGCAUUAGCUAGUUGGUAAGGUAACGGCUUACCAAGGCAACGAUGCGUAGCCGACCGGAGGGGGUGAUCGGCCACCCUGGACCUGAGACCCGGUCCAGCCUCCUACGGGGGGCAGCAGUAGGGAAUCUUCCGCAAUGGGCGAAAGCCUGACGGAGCAACGCCGCGUGAGUGAUGAAGGUCUUCGGUUCGUAAACCUCUGUUAUUAGGGAAGAACAAAUGUGUAAGUAACUAUGCACGUCUUGCCGGUACCUAAGCAGAAAGCCCCGGCUACCUCCGU
Molecule: ribosomal RNA, 496 nt
Filed under: uncultured bacterium
Lineage: Bacteria
Description: partial 16S ribosomal RNA
Rfam family: Bacterial small subunit ribosomal RNA
Source: RNAcentral